This 129-nucleotide ribosomal RNA is filed under the name Bacillus amyloliquefaciens. Its description in RNAcentral is "partial 16S ribosomal RNA". It matches the Rfam family "Bacterial small subunit ribosomal RNA", at positions 1 to 125 of the family's 1533-position model. The record is from RNAcentral. Lineage: Bacteria; Bacillati; Bacillota; Bacilli; Caryophanales; Bacillaceae.
UUUAUCGGAGAGUUUGAUCCUGGCUCAGGACGAACGCUGGCGGCGUGCCUAAUACAUGCAAGUCGAGCGGACAGAUGGGAGCUUGCUCCCUGAUGUCAGCGGCGGACGGGUGAGUAACACGUGGGUAAC